CGUCUUUUGUUUAUAUAGAAGAUAUAACCUGCCCACUGAAGUGUUGAAGGGCCGCGGUAUUGUGACCGUGCAAAGGUAGCAUAAUCAUUAGUCUUCUAAUUAAAGGCUGGAAUGAAUGGUUGGACGAGGUAAAAGCUGUCUCGUGUGAGAUACUUAUAAUUUAACUUCUUAGUGAAAAGGCUAAGAUAGUGUUGGAGGACGAGAAGACCCUAUAGAGCUUAAUAAUGUAAUUAAUAUGAAAUUUAGUAUAGUUUUUAUUAUUAAUCAAAUUAUUUUGUUGGGGUGACAGGAAAAUAAAUGAACUUUUCUAUAAAAGUUACAUUAAUGAGUGAGAGUAGGAUCCAUUUUUAAUGAUUAUAAGAAAAAGUUACCUUAGGGAUAACAGCGUAAUCCUUUUUGAGAGUUCUUAUCGACAAAAGGGUUUGCGA
This 428-nucleotide ribosomal RNA is filed under the name Ephemera danica. Its description in RNAcentral is "partial 16S ribosomal RNA". It matches the Rfam family "Bacterial large subunit ribosomal RNA", at positions 1831 to 2523 of the family's 2925-position model. Lineage: Eukaryota; Metazoa; Arthropoda; Insecta; Ephemeroptera; Ephemeridae. The record is from RNAcentral.